AGGACGAACGCUGGCGGCGUGCUUAACACAUGCAAGUCGAACGGUAAGGCCCUUCGGGGUACACGAGUGGCGAACGGGUGAGUAACACGUGGGUGAUCUGCCCUGCACUUCGGGAUAAGCUUGGGAAACUGGGUCUAAUACCGGAUAUGACUACGAAUCGCAUGGUUUGUGGUGGAAAGCUUUUGCGGUGUGGGAUGGGCCCGCGGCCUAUCAGCUUGUUGGUGGGGUGAUGGCCUACCAAGGCGACGACGGGUAGCCGGCCUGAGAGGGUGUCCGGCCACACUGGGACUGAGAUACGGCCCAGACUCCUACGGGAGGCAGCAGUGGGGAAUAUUGCACAAUGGGCGCAAGCCUGAUGCAGCGACGCCGCGUGAGGGAUGACGGCCUUCGGGUUGUAAACCUCUUUCAGUAUCGACGAAGCGCAAGUGACGGUAGGUACAGAAGAAGGACCGGCCAACUACGCGCCAGCAGCCGCGGUAA
This 480-nucleotide ribosomal RNA is filed under the name uncultured bacterium. Its description in RNAcentral is "SSU rRNA". It matches the Rfam family "Bacterial small subunit ribosomal RNA", at positions 26 to 523 of the family's 1533-position model. The record is from RNAcentral.